RNAcentral lists this ribosomal RNA (497 nucleotides) under uncultured bacterium. RNAcentral's name for it is "partial 16S ribosomal RNA". It matches the Rfam family "Bacterial small subunit ribosomal RNA", at positions 28 to 507 of the family's 1533-position model. The record is from RNAcentral.
GAUGAACGCUGGCGGCGUGCCUAACACAUGCAAGUCGAGCGGACGGACCAGAAGCUUGCUUCUCUGAUGUUAGCGGCGGACGUGUGAGUAACACGUGGAUACCCUACCUAUAAGACUGGGAUAACUUCGGGACACCGGAUCUAAUCACGGAUGAUCUUUUGAACCGCAUGGUUCAAAAGUGAAAGACGGCCUUGCUGUCACUUAUCGAUGGAUCCGCGCUGCAUUAGCUAGUUGGUAGGGUAACGGCUUACCAAGGCAACGAUGCGUAGCCGACCUGAGAGGGUGAUCGGCCACCCUGGAACUGAGACACGGUCCGGACGCCUACGGGAGGCAGCAGCAGGGAAUCUUCCGCACUGGGCGAAAGCCUGACGGAGCGACCCCGCGCGAGGGGUGAGGGUCCUGGGAGCGGAAAGCUCUGUUAUGAGGGAAGAACAUAGGUGUAAGUAACCGUGCUCAUCUUGACGGUACCUAAUAAAGAAGCAACGGCUAACUACGUG